Molecule: long non-coding RNA, 1999 nt
Organism: Hyla sarda
Lineage: Eukaryota; Metazoa; Chordata; Amphibia; Anura; Hylidae
Exons: 3
Source: RefSeq, a predicted model, not a curated record
UAGAUGUUAUUCCACCAUGUGCCACAGGAGGCGCUGGAAGCAACAAUCAUCUCUCUGAUAUAGUCCGUGGGGCCCUACAGGGUGAUGGGUCAUGGAUGGGCCAGAUUACCACAUAGAGGACCUGCUGGCGCUGAGGGACCUGGUGGUCUGAUCUGUUCCGGAUGUUAUUAAUGAUGAGGGAUCUACUGAAGACCACCAUUACUGCUGAUCACUUCUACAAAAGACCACCAUCACUGCUGAUCACUUCUACUGAAGACCACCAUUACUGCUGAUCACUUCUACUGAAGACCACCAUUACUGCUGAUCACUUCUACUGAAGACCACCAUUACUGCUGAUCACUUCUACAAAAGACCACCAUCACUGCUGAUCACUUCUACUGAAGACCACCAUUACUGCUGAUCACUUCUACUGAAGACCACCAUUACUGCUGAUUACUUCUACAAAAGACCACCAUCACUGAUGAUUACUUCUACUGAAGACCACCAUUACUGCUGAUCACUUCUACAAAAGACCACCAUCACUGCUGAUCACUUCUACUGAAGACCACCAUUACUGCUGAUCACUUCUACUAAAGACCACCAUCACUGCUGAUUGCUUCUACUAAAGACCACCAUCACUGCUGAUUACUUCUACUGAAGACCACCAUUACUGCUGAUCACUUCUACUAAAGACCACCAUUACUGCUGAUCACUUCUACUGGAGACCACCAUUACUGCUGAUUACUUCUGCUGGUGAGGAUAACUGGGAUUAUUGUUUGGUUCUGUCCAUUUCCCUUGAUAUUUGGGACUUCUCUAGAAGAUGACCACCACGGCACUGAGGAGUCCAUGGACCCAGCAGAGAAGUUCUUCAGUCUGCAGAGAGGUUCACGGGUCGCCUGCCCAAUGGUCUCCAUUCAUGAGGUGAACUGAUGUCCCUGAGGAGGAUGACGGGAGGAUCCCCGAGCCCAGAGGUGUCCAGGAAGAUGGUCCUGGAGCCGGCGAUGAGACACUUAACUCACAUCCUGGCUGCUUGGCCUUUUGGGGAAGUCUUCAGGACGGAUUUUCUACCUGUAGGAAAUGCUGCAAGAAGGGGCAAGGACUGUCCCAGAAAGACUGUGUGGGACCUAUGUGGGGAGGAGGCCGAUCACGUCUACAGGGACUGUCCAUAGAGAUCCAGGGACCAGAGAGUGUGACCUCCGCACCUGCCCCAACCCCAACGGCAAGAAAGGGGGCGCCACCGUCACUGUGCAUUUACCUUCAAAACAAGUCAAUACAGCACAGGAUCCCUAAGCUAUACACCGUACCACAUGCUACACUAACACUCCGAUCCAUCACUUGGUAUAGAAGAAUCAAGUUCGAAAAACAACAACAUAUUGCAGUCUGUGAUUGGGGAGUGGCGUGGGGUCAAAUGGGGGUAGGGGUAGGGCGGAUCACAGGGUCAAACUACUGGGCAAACGUAUGGGGAGGUAGGGGAAGAUGAGGGGCGUUAAUCCUCUUCUUCAUCGACGUCCGGACAGUCCAAGAUAGAAUAGUCUCUAAGCCGGCUGUGGACAAGCCUGCUGCAGUCCUGGACGGACAUGUCCUCCCUGUUGUAGAUGAGGUGAUUCCUGGCCAGCCAUAUAGCGUCCUUGAAACAGUUCAUAAGGCGCCAGGCCUCCUGGAUGGCCUCCACGUCGUGAACCCCAGGAAAAAGUCCAUAAAGCACCGAAUGGUACGAUAGGUAGUUCCUGGGUACCGAGUCUCUAAGUUCAAGUUCCAAUCACAAUUACAAUCACACAAAGCGUGACAGUACAAUAUAUAGCACGGGUUCCCUAAGGCUGCUUUCACACUGUAAAAUACUCCCGUUAAUAAACGCCCAUUAAAAAAUCCCAGGAGAUCGGCAGUUAAACGCCCGUUAUAAAAUCUUAGAAGAUCGGCAGUUAAACGCCCGUUAUAAAAUCCCAGGAGAUCGGCAGUUAAACGCCCGUUAUAAAAUCCCAGGAGAUCGGCAGUUAAACUCCCGUUAGAAAAUCCCAGGAGA